GUAGUCUCGCACAGAUGCAUAUCAAUAAGCGGAGGAAAAGGAAACUAACAAGGAUUCCCCUAGUAACGGCGAGUGAAGCGGGAAGAGCUCAAAUUUGAAAUCUUAAAGGGUUUCCCUUUACGAAUUGUAGUUUAAAGAAGUGUUUUCUGUUGAGGUUUUGGUAAAAGUUCUUUGGAAUAGGACAUCAUAGAGGGUGAGAAUCCCGUAUUUGACCUUUACUUUCAACUUUGUGAUACACUUUCAAAGAGUCGGAUUGUUUGGGAAUGCAGUCCAAAAUGGGUGGUAAAUUUCAUCUAAAGCUAAAUAUUGGCGAGAGACCGAUAGCGAACAAGUACCGUGAGGGAAAGAUGAAAAGAACUUUGAAAAGAGAGUUAAACAGUACGUGAAAUUGUCAAAAGGGAAGCGUUUGACACCCGUGUUGUUUUUCUGAAAAUCAAUUAAAGAACUGUUUAUGCUAAGCUGUUUAGACUUUAUCAGCUAACUGUUUAGUUUUGAGCUUUUCUUUAAUGCACUUUUCAGUUAACAAGUCAACAUCAAUUUCUUUUGCUGUAAAAAAGCUUGAGGAAGGUGGCUUGAGAUUCGUCUUAAGUGUUUAUAGCCUCUUGCCUAUGCAGUCGGAGAGAUUGAGGUCUGCAGCGUAGAUCCUUCGGGGCUAAAUGCAUUUGUGCUAAGUUAUAGCAUUUUAUAGACAACUUGUUGACUAUGAUUUGUCUUGUAGCUUACUCGCUUAUGUUAUUUUACCUACGCUUAGGAUGUUGAGUAGCGACAUACGCAC
RNAcentral lists this ribosomal RNA (775 nucleotides) under uncultured Neocallimastigales. Its description in RNAcentral is "partial large subunit ribosomal RNA". It matches the Rfam family "Eukaryotic large subunit ribosomal RNA", at positions 24 to 649 of the family's 3401-position model. Lineage: Eukaryota; Fungi; Neocallimastigomycota; Neocallimastigomycetes; Neocallimastigales. The record is from RNAcentral.